RNAcentral lists this ribosomal RNA (328 nucleotides) under uncultured eukaryote. RNAcentral describes it as "partial 18S ribosomal RNA". It matches the Rfam family "Eukaryotic small subunit ribosomal RNA", at positions 1470 to 1796 of the family's 1831-position model. The record is from RNAcentral.
CCCUUAGAUGUCCUGGGCCGCACGCGCGUUACACUGAUGCAUUCAACGAGCUUAUAACCUUGGCCGAGAGGCCUGGGCAAUCUUGUUAACGUGCAUCGUGAUAGGGAUAGAUUAUUGAAAUUAUUAAUCUUGAACGAGGAAUUCCUAGUAAACGCAGACCAUCAAUCUGCAUUGAUUACGUCCCUGCCCUUUGUACACACCGCCCGUCGCACCUACCGAUUGGAUGGUCCGGUGAAGCCUCGGGAUUGUGGUUCUUGCCGCUUUGUUGUGGCGUGACCGCGAGAACUUGUCUAAACCUUAUCAUCUAGAGGAAGGUGAAGUCGUAACA